Long non-coding RNA from Bos taurus (domestic cattle), 1902 nucleotides. NCBI's taxonomy places the organism in Eukaryota, Metazoa, Chordata, Mammalia, Artiodactyla, Bovidae. The record is from Ensembl.
CAGGCCUCAGCUCCCUCUAGCUCCUCCAAGGGCUGUGUUGGAUGUUUGUUCUACAAAGGUAGCCCCAGCUGGCAGAAGAGCUGACUUGGGCCUGACCCAAGCCGCCUCUUGUUUCCCUGGCUUCAGCCUGAAUGUAGCAGUAGGAAGCUUUCUUUGGGUCUCUGCUACUAACAGCCGCAGUUAUGGGAUAGGGCAAAUCCUGAGACGUGCCUGAUACAUGGGUAACUCCGUGGAAGCCUCAGGUCUCGGUUCUGAGUCAAGUCAGGAGGCGAGGCUCAUCCAGCAAGAGCCUGUGGUUAGGCUGCCACCUAGUGUUGAGCUGGGUGUACAGCAGAAAGGCCUCUACAGGGCACCCAACCUGAGGGGCUGACAGGCAAGAAAGAGGGAAAACCAGAAAAUCUGCAAAGAAGCCAGGCUCCUGAGGGGCCCCAACCACCCCAGACCAGACGGAAAAUGCAUUUCGGGCGAAGACAAACGAUGAAGUCAGCCUGCAGCCGGAGGCCAAGAAAACUAAAAGCGCACUUUUACAGGAGCUAUGGGAACAGUCCAGGCAGAUGGAAGCAAGACACGCGGAGCAUCUGGGCAGAACGGAACCAUACGGACUUGUGCCUGGUUGCUCUGAAGGUGAAGAGUGAGGCCAGGAGGAAACAGCAAUGAAUUGAGGGCAGCUGUAUGGAUGUGAGAGUUGGACUGUGAAGAAGGCUGAGCGCUGAAGAAUUGAUGCUUUUGAACUGUGGUGUUGGAGAAGACUCUUGAGAGUCCCUUGGACUGCAAGGAGAUCCAACCAGUCCAUUCUGAAGGAGAUCAGCCCUGGGAUUUCUUUGGAAGGAAUGAUGCUAAAGCUGAAACUCCAGUACUUUGGCCACCUCAUGCGAAGAGUUGACUCACUGGCAAAGACUCUGAUGCUGGGAGGGAUUGGGGGCAGGAGGAGAAGGGGACAACAGAGGAUGAGAUGGCUGGAUGGCAUCACUGACUCGAUGGACGUGAGUCUGAGUGAACUCCGGGAGCUGGUGAUGGACAGAGAGGCCUGGUGUACCGUGAUUCAUGGGGUCGCAAAGAGUCGGACACGACUGAGCGACUGAUCUGAUCUGAUCUGAUCUGAUGCCUCUUCAAAGAUUUGCUACUUUUUGAGACUUUCAAGCAUGAAAAUGGUUUAUCCUCCCCUCUCAUAAUUGAUGGGGAGGCCAAAUAGGACAGAGUGACAUAACCAGCAAACAGAGCACCUUAAGACAACACACCCGUUAAAGUAACGUAACGAUCAAGGAAACAAGACUGCAAGCAGCUUGGGAAAUGGAGAGCAAAAGAAUUAGCUUCAUCAAGCCAUCAUUCUAGAGCAGGCUUGUUGUUUGGUGUGGCUGCGUUUUUGUGUAGGAAUUGUACAUAGCUGCAAGUGUCAUCCACAUGCCCACACUCUAACCUCCUUUCUCCACCUAACAUGAUGUCAUGAGCAUUUUUCUGUGUUGCUACAUAGUCUGUAUAAUUACUCUAAAUGACUGUACAAUAUUCCACUCAUUAUACUACUGCUGAAUAUUUAGGUUCCUUUUUUUUUUCCUUUGCUCAAUUUUCAUGAAUUAACAAAUGUAAGGUGUUUCCACCCAAGCUUGCAAAACGUAGACACAGAGUAGAUGCUUUUUGUCUUUUCCAUCUCUCUCCUUCCUGUGUAUCUUUGUCCCUGGGCUUUUCCUUGAGAUAAGUGUUCCUUAGGGUUCAGGGGUAUGACUCUCCACACAUACUGCUACCAUAUUGUUCCAUUAAUUACAAUGACAAUUUGAGAAAGCAGAGGUCUGCAAGUUUAACUAAUCUGCCCAGGGUCCCUGUCUGUUCUGUUUUCUUCUUUUCCCCCCAAGGUCUGCUCCAGUGUCUGGUGCAUAGAACGACUUCAAUAAACAUUUGCUGAAUGAA